RNAcentral lists this long non-coding RNA (519 nucleotides) under Rattus norvegicus (Norway rat). RNAcentral describes it as "long non-coding RNA NONRATT008758". The record is from RNAcentral. Lineage: Eukaryota; Metazoa; Chordata; Mammalia; Rodentia; Muridae.
UUAAAAAUAAUAAGAUACAAAUUGUGAAAAGGAAAGGUCCCGACAUGUCAUGAGACAGGGAAUCUGCACAGACACCAUUGAGGUCAUUUUCUCUUAGCCAUCUAGCGUUGGACAUGCAGCCACCCUUAAGAGUACUUUAUUUUCUCAGUGAGACUCUUGGAGAAAAAUUGUCAUGUGCAAGUGGCUGUCUAUUCAAGAUAAAGCUGCUGGGUUGGGGAUAGGGAAUGCCACUUCUCCUUUGUGCUCUAGGACCCCAACUGGUACAGAUGAGUGCAGGCCCUGUCCAUUCUGCCUCAGACUGUGUGCGUUCAUAUGUGAUUUGAUCAUGUUGAUGGAGAGGGUCUUGUUUGGUGUUCUCCGUUCCCUCUGGUUCUUACUCUCUUUCUACCUCUUCUAUGGGGUUCCCUGAGGGAGGAGUGGUUGAUAGAGAAAUGCUCUUUAGGGCUGAGUGUCAAAGGCCUCUCUCUCAUUCACUGCUUACGAAGGCCAGUGCUCUGUAGGUCAUUUUAUGUAGAAGUA